Molecule: long non-coding RNA, 238 nt
Filed under: Elaeis guineensis (African oil palm)
Lineage: Eukaryota; Viridiplantae; Streptophyta; Magnoliopsida; Arecales; Arecaceae
Description: long non-coding RNA (EGUI_LNC040403)
Source: RNAcentral
GACUUGAGAAUUGCCACAAGAAAACCAUCUCAUCAUAGUCAACACUAUAACUUUCAUAAAAUCCUUUGACAAUCAGACAGAAUUAAUAGGUCUCCACCUUUUCGUCUGCAUCUCUAUCUAUCUAAAAUUCACUCACACCCUAUGAAUCUUAUCCCUUUCGGUGAGUCAACAAAUAUCCAUACAUCGUCGAUCUUCAUAGAUUUCAUUUCAGAUUUAAUGGCUCCAAGCCACUUCUCAA